AUAUUAUACUUACUUGUAACAAAACAUGAAAUAAGUAUUGAAAGAGGUAUAAUGAAAUAUUUAAAAGACUGUUAUACAUCUAUAAACGCAGGUUAAAAGAGAAAAAAAAAAAGCAUAUACUAACAUGAAUAUAUAUAUAUAUUUACGUAUACAUAUACACACACAUGGAAAAGCAUAAUGUAUAGUUUAUUUUAAUUAAUGUUUUAUUUUUUAUUUUUUUUUUUUUUUUUUUUGAUAAAGAUCAAUCAUUAAAUAAGACGAUAGAGAAAAUAAAUGAAGCAGAUAAAAACAUUGAGGAUUUAGGAGGAAAAACAGGAAUGUGGACUGAAGAUGAUAAUAACUAUUUUAUUAGUGUAUAUGAAAAUAAUUCCAAACUAGGAGACAACAUUGUUGUCGAUUUAUUAAAAAGUAGAAUAAAUAAAAGUGAAGAAGAAAUUUAUAAACACAUCACUUGGUAUCAAAAUUUUAUGUCUAUUAAAAAACUUAAAAAUAAAUAUAUUAACAACAUUAGCAUCUUCAAUAUAAAUGUAAAAAAGAAAAAAAAAAAAAAAAAAAAAAGGAUAUGCACAUAUAUAUACAUAUAUGUACAUAGUUACGUCUUAAUACGUUGCUUUCUUUUUUUUUUCAUUUUAUUUUUACAAUGAUUUUUUUUACAAUAUUUAUAUUUUAUGAAUAUAUUAAUAAUAUGUACUUAAAAUAUUGAAACAGGAACAAAAUAAAGCGGAUCUCAAAGUUAAAGAAAAAAAAAAU
Molecule: long non-coding RNA, 750 nt
Filed under: Piliocolobus tephrosceles (Ugandan red Colobus)
Lineage: Eukaryota; Metazoa; Chordata; Mammalia; Primates; Cercopithecidae
Description: lncRNA (ENSPTEG00000014713.1)
Source: RNAcentral